RNAcentral lists this ribosomal RNA (460 nucleotides) under uncultured bacterium. Its description in RNAcentral is "partial 16S ribosomal RNA". It matches the Rfam family "Bacterial small subunit ribosomal RNA", at positions 338 to 795 of the family's 1533-position model. The record is from RNAcentral.
CCUACGGGUGUCAGCAGUGAGGAAUAUUGGUCAAUGGGCGCGAGCCUGAACCAGCCAAGUAGCGUGAAGGAUGACUGCCCUACGGGUUGUAAACUUCUUUUAUAAAGGAAUAAAGUGCGGCACGUGUGCCUUUUUAUAUGUACUUUAUGAAUAAGGAUCGGCUAAUUCCGUGCCAGCAGCCGCGGUAAUACGGCGGAUCCGGGCGUUAUCCGGAUUUGUUGGGUUUAAAGGGAGCGUAGGUGGAUUGUUAAGUUAGUUGUGAAAGUUUGCGGCUCAACCGUACAAUUGCAGUUGAAACUGGCAGUCUUGAGUACAGGAGAGGUGGGCGGAAUUCGUGGUGUAGCGGUGAAAUGCUUAGAUAUCACGAAGAACUCCGAUUGCGAAGGCAGUUCACUGCACUGCAACUGACACUGAGGCUCGAAAGUGUGGGUAUCAAACAGGAUUAGAUACCCGAGUAGUC